RNAcentral lists this unclassified non-coding RNA (233 nucleotides) under Hevea brasiliensis (rubber tree). Lineage: Eukaryota; Viridiplantae; Streptophyta; Magnoliopsida; Malpighiales; Euphorbiaceae. The record is from RNAcentral.
AAAGAAAAGGCACCAUGAAAAGGUGAAAGGUCUCUCGUAAAUGUAGAGAACAAAAAUAAAAUGUUAAUUAGCUUUGAAUAAACAUGUGUAAGAGUGACGCAUGGAAUAAAGUGAAAGAGUCGGACUUUAUUUCCCUUUUCUUUGUAAUAUUAAGUAGGGAUUAAGACACCUUUAUGCUGCUGUAAUCCAUACCAAUCUAUUGAAAUUAUAGAGAAGCUUUGAAUAUGGAUUCA